ACAUCCAGAGAAUUUAGCAGAGAUGCUUUAGUGCCUUCGGGAACUCUGAGACAGGUGCUGCAUGGCUGUCGUCAGCUCGUGUUGUGAAAUAUUGGGUUAAGUCCCGCAACGAGCGCAACCCUUAUCCUUUGUUGCCAGCACGUAAUGGUGGGAACUCAAAGGAGGCUGCCGGUGAUAAACCGGAGGAAGGUGGGGAUGACGUCAAGUCAUCAUGGCCCUUACGAGUAGGGCUACACACGUGCUACAAUGGCGCAUACAAAGAGAAGCGACCUCGCGAGAGCAAGCGGACCUCAUAAAGUGCGUCGUAGUCCGGAUUGGAGUCUGCAACUCGACUCCAUGAAGUCGGAAUCGCUAGUAAUCGUAAAUCAGAAUGUUACGGUGAAUACGUUCCCGGGCCUUGUACACACCGCCCGUCACACCAUGGGAGUGGGUUGCAAAAGAAGUAGAUAGCUUAACCUUCGGGAGGGCGUUUACCACUUUGUGAUUCAUGACUGGGGUGAAGUCGUAACAAGGUAAGCGUAGUGCU
RNAcentral lists this ribosomal RNA (526 nucleotides) under uncultured bacterium. RNAcentral describes it as "bacterial SSU rRNA". It matches the Rfam family "Bacterial small subunit ribosomal RNA", at positions 984 to 1509 of the family's 1533-position model. The record is from RNAcentral.